AAUAGUAGUAAUUCAAACUAGCCUCAGUAAGCAUGUUAUCUCAAAACGUUUCAUAGAACAUAAUCAUUAAAUCAUGCUUUUCAUGUAUGCAUUUCUACUAUAAAACAUGCAUUUUUAGAAAGGGUCCACUCACUGUACUUAGCCGCCGAAGAGCCACGCAACUAGCGAAGACAGAAACGCCACUAUAAUUGCCCCUAAGCACAUAAAUGGUCCAAUUAAUAAAACUAUAUAAUAGCA
This 237-nucleotide long non-coding RNA is filed under the name Malus domestica (apple). RNAcentral's name for it is "long non-coding RNA (MDOM_LNC006490)". The record is from RNAcentral. Lineage: Eukaryota; Viridiplantae; Streptophyta; Magnoliopsida; Rosales; Rosaceae.